RNAcentral lists this ribosomal RNA (574 nucleotides) under Lodderomyces parapsilosis. RNAcentral's name for it is "Candida parapsilosis partial large subunit ribosomal RNA". It matches the Rfam family "Eukaryotic large subunit ribosomal RNA", at positions 53 to 642 of the family's 3401-position model. Lineage: Eukaryota; Fungi; Ascomycota; Pichiomycetes; Serinales; Debaryomycetaceae. The record is from RNAcentral.
GAGGAAAAGAAACCAACAGGGAUUGCCUUAGUAGCGGCGAGUGAAGCGGCAAAAGCUCAAAUUUGAAAUCUGGCACUUUCAGUGUCCGAGUUGUAAUUUGAAGAAGGUAUCUUUGGGUCUGGCUCUUGUCUAUGUUUCUUGGAACAGAACGUCACAGAGGGUGAGAAUCCCGUGCGAUGAGAUGUCCCAGACCUAUGUAAAGUUCCUUCGAAGAGUCGAGUUCGUUUGGGAAUGCAGCUCUAAGUGGGUGGUAAAUUCCAUCUAAAGCUAAAUAUUGGCGAGAGACCGAUAGCGAACAAGUACAGUGAUGGAAAGAUGAAAAGAACUUUGAAAAGAGAGUGAAAAAGUACGUGAAAUUGUUGAAAGGGAAGGGCUUGAGAUCAGACUUGGUAUUUUGUAUGUUACUCUCUCGGGGGUGGCCUCUACAGUUUACCGGGCCAGCAUCAGUUUGAGCGGUAGGAUAAGUGCAAAGAAAUGUGGCACUGCUUCGGUAGUGUGUUAUAGUCUUUGUCGAUACUGCCAGCUUAGACUGAGGACUGCGGCUUCGGCCUAGGAUGUUGGCAUAAUGAUCUUA